CCUACGGGAGGCAGCAGUGAGGAAUAUUGGUCAAUGGACGAGAGUCUGAACCAGCCAAGUAGCGUGAAGGAUGACUGCCCUAUGGGUUGUAAACUUCUUUUAUAAAGGAAUAAAACGAGGCACGUGUGCCUUUUUGCAUGUACUUUAUGAAUAAGGAUCGGCUAACUCCGUGCCAGCAGCCGCGGUAAUACGGAGGAUCCGAGCGUUAUCCGGAUUUAUUGGGUUUAAAGGGAGCGUAGAUGGGUUGUUAAGUCAGUUGUGAAAGUUUGCGGCUCAACCGUAAAAUUGCAAUUGAUACUGGCAGUCUUGAGUACAGUUGAGGUAGGCGGAAUUCGUGGUGUAGCGGUGAAAUGCUUAGAUAUCACGAAGAACCCCGAUUGCGAAGGCAGCUUACCAAACUGUGACUGACAUUGAUGCACGAAAGUGUGGGUAUCAAACAGGAUUAGAUACCCCAGUAGUC
This 460-nucleotide ribosomal RNA is filed under the name uncultured bacterium. Its description in RNAcentral is "partial 16S ribosomal RNA". It matches the Rfam family "Bacterial small subunit ribosomal RNA", at positions 338 to 795 of the family's 1533-position model. The record is from RNAcentral.